AGUGAACGCUGGCGGUAGGCCUAACACAUGCAAGUCGAACGGCAGCACAGUAAGAGCUUGCUCUUACGGGUGGCGAGUGGCGGACGGGUGAGGAAUACAUCGGAAUCUACUUUUUCGUGGGGGAUAACGUAGGGAAACUUACGCUAAUACCGCAUACGACCUACGGGUGAAAGCAGGGGAUCUUCGGACCUUGCGCGAUUGAAUGAGCCGAUGUCGGAUUAGCUAGUUGGCGGGGUAAAGGCCCACCAAGGCGGCGAUCCGUAGCCGGUCUGAGAGGAUGGUCAGCCACACUGGAACUGAGACACGGUCCAGACUCCUACGGGAGGCAGCAGUGGGGAAUAUUGGACAAUGGGCGCAAGCCUGAUCCAGCCAUACCGCGUGGGUGAAGAAGGCCUUCGGGUUGUAAAGCCCUUUUGUUGGGAGAGAAAAGCAGCAGGUUAAUACCCCGCUGUUCUGACGGUACCCAAAGAAUAAGCACCGGCUAACUUCGUG
This 492-nucleotide ribosomal RNA is filed under the name uncultured bacterium. RNAcentral's name for it is "partial 16S ribosomal RNA". It matches the Rfam family "Bacterial small subunit ribosomal RNA", at positions 29 to 507 of the family's 1533-position model. The record is from RNAcentral.